CCAUAUUGAUUUCACAAUACUCAAUGUAUUGAAAUAAUGAAAGGUCAUUUUCAAAUUUGUAUUGAGUAAUUUAUUUGGUUUCCUAAUUACAUCACCAAGGUUAAUAUCUUAUUGAAAAAACCUUUCGUUCUCUGCUUGCUACCCCCACUACCGCUCCACUCUGUGUAACCUGCAGCUAGAGUUCGAGCUUUGUCUUCGCCUUCUUUCUUACUAAGUUCUUCGAUCGCCCGCCCUCUCCAUAGCUUCAAAUCCAUCGCACCCGUUAAGAAAGAUUAACCAGUCAUGGAGGAAGUUGUUCAAGAAAAUGUUGCUGUCAUUUCAUAUCCAUCACAGAUUGAUGUCAAACUCUUCAACCUAUGGAGCUUUGAUGAUGUCCAAGUUUACUUCAAAUCCAUCAUAGUUUUUUGUUGUAAUUUGUAAUAUAUACUCUGUUGAAGUUUUAUAAAUUUAUGAUUUUUGUUUGUUGGUUGUAAUUUUGUUGUUUUUGUUGUGUUAGCUCAUUGAUGUUUCGUUGAGUGACUAUAUUGGAGUUGUGACAACAACAAUUCCCCCACUGCUGGGAGAUAAUCUAUGAAGAGGUUUAGGAAAUCGCAGAAAAAUACAACAAGGUUUUAUGCUGCAAAUAUGAGAAGAGUGAUCUUUGAGGUGUUUGAUCGGUGCAAACAAAAGGUAUUGGUGACGGCGAAUCCGAAGGUGAUGGUGGAAGCGUUUGUGAAGGACUAUCUAGCUAUGGAAAUAAAAGAAUACUGGAUUCUGAAUUCAUAUCUAUUUGCAAGGUGCAGGCCGUAUGAUGAUCCAUCUAUUAAAACAAAGAUUGAUCUGCUUCAUAAAGAGAUCAACAAGAAAAAACAAGCUCGGUUUCAAAUCACCGAAGAACUGAAGGCAAGGCGAGUGAGUUCAAAAUGAUUCAUCAUUGUCUGGACAUGCUUUUUUGGACACCUUUUCUUCCCCUCUGUGUACUUUAGUGCAAUCAUCAAUGCAAGCUGUCAUUGGAGAUGCUUUUCAUUUUCCAGAAUUUGGUAUUAAGUUAUUAACGCACUUAUGGUAUGUGCAGGUUUUUUCAAUAAAUGCUCUGUUAUGGACUUAUAGUGCACUAUUUUUAUAUGUUUUUGCCAAUCAUAUUAUUUGAAGUUUUAUAAUAUCAUUGCAUUCAAAUUGUAGAAAUUUGUAAGUAAGAUGAAUAUUGUUCCUUCUUUUCUCAUGCUGCUACCCUAAAGAGCUCUGAUCACCAUAGGGCCACUAACACCAGUUCCAGAUUGGGUGCACAACAGAAGAAAUUGAAUCUUCCUAUUCUUCCCAACCACUACAAAUGAUCUUUCCCUCAGACUUCAGAUCUUAGAAGGGUUUGCCGUUAGUUCAAGGCCAAAGAGUAAGCAUAAUUCAUCUUCUUUUUCUUCAGUUAUCUACUACAUCCAAUAAUUAUCACAUUUUAACACUUAACAUGCUCUAUGUAACUAUAUGAAUAGGAUCUUUGAAGAGGGUUAUACCAAGAUGUGUCCCUAUUGUUGUCGUUGCUAUUGAUAAUGCAACAAAUGUUGGGCUGUUGGUUGUGAGGAUAUUGAGUGUUGCCGAUUAAAAUCUUAUUUCACAAAAAAGAAAAAAUGCAAAACUAUUUUACACUUCUGGCUUACAUAGCUAUAACAUUUAUAUUGCUAUGCAGGAUGAUCCAAUAUCAAGAGGACCAAAAAGAAAGUGUAAUGGCGGAAGGAGAGAAGUUAGAAAAGCUUGGUUGAAAAUCCUACCUAAAUGAUAGUAAUUUGUUGAACUCAUUAAUUUAGUGAAUUUGUUGAAUCCUACUUAAAUGCUUUCUAGCUAUUCUUGGGUAAUGCCUAAUGUGAAUUAAAAAUGGUAUUUUAUUUGUUAACUGCAGGUAUGAUAAAGACCUAUUGAAUUAAUUGCAAUGUUUAAUGAAAAUGAAGAAGUGGUAUGAAGGCCAAUUGAUCAUGGCUUUGGGGGUGAAGUUGUUUCUACUGUACAGUCUCAAAAGAAUUCAGCCACAAAAGCAGUCGACAAAGCAGUCAGCAUACAGUUUUUUCAAUAACAAAUCACCACCAAACAAUUCUAUUAACGAAAGCACAAUGUUGUAGCAGCGUCUUUCGAUGAUGAACUUAAAAAGAUAUCAAUGUUUAUAUCAGUUAAGAGAGGUUGUGAUACCUACUGAAAUUCUAGAUAAUGGUCUCUUGUGUUAUCUGCUUUGGUUUGAUCCUUACUCUACUGUUUAAAGUUGGCAAGAUAAUGACCGAGGUGUUCCGUGUACUUUUGGACUUGAUGUUAUCGCAAAUUUUUUGGAUAAAAAUGAUAUUGAUCUUCUUUGUCAGGGACAUCGGGUAAACCUCUUCCUUCAUUUAAGAAUGUUGAAUGAAUCGGUACAUGUUUUUAUUUUGCUGUUAUAGUUGCACUUCUAUAUUUUUUAUCAACUUAAUUGGUUAUCAAUUCACAAAGAGGGAACAAAAUAUCAUGGCAAAACAAGACUCGGUCGAAAUAUACACAAGCAUUUGUAUCUCUUAUUCUUUUGAUUCAAUCUUAUUUUUUCCUUUUUAUGUUACUUCUACCAUCUUUUAAUUAAGGUCUCAUUGUAAUUUGUU
This is a long non-coding RNA of Vicia villosa (hairy vetch), 2585 nucleotides long. RefSeq lists it as uncharacterized. NCBI's taxonomy places the organism in Eukaryota, Viridiplantae, Streptophyta, Magnoliopsida, Fabales, Fabaceae. The transcript is spliced from 5 exons. The record is from RefSeq and is a predicted model, not a curated record.